GUUUCUGCAUGGCUUCCCGGAGAUAUGGUACUCUUGGAGGCACCAGAUGCUGGCGGCGGCGGCCGCCGGUUUCCGAGCCAUCGCGCCUGAUUUCAGAGGCUACGGUCUAUCCGAUAAGCCUUCCGAUGACUCAUCAUGGGGCGAUCUAGUCGCCGAUCUCCUUGCACUCUUGGACUCCCUAGCCAUUCCCAAGGUGUUUCUUGUGGGGAAAGAUUUUGGUGCCUUGAUAGUCUACCAGUUUGCAAUCCUCCAUCCAAAGAGGGUGAUUGGAGUCGUGACGCUCGGCGUCCCAUUCAUCGCUAAGCGAAUCUCUCACGAUAGCGUCCCCAGUGGGUUCUACUUUGCAAGGUGGCAGGAGCCUGGU
This 364-nucleotide unclassified non-coding RNA is filed under the name Hevea brasiliensis (rubber tree). The record is from RNAcentral. Lineage: Eukaryota; Viridiplantae; Streptophyta; Magnoliopsida; Malpighiales; Euphorbiaceae.